AAUACAUUUUUUUGUAUUGCCUUAAUUAAAUUAAAAAUUUUAUUUUAGUUUAAAAUUAUUAACUAAAGAUAAAUGUAUAGUAAUUGAAUUUUUAAAAUAGAGUUUUAUUAACAUUUAAUAUUAGUAGGUUAAAGAAAUUUAAUUUUAAAUCAUUUUUUUAUGUCAACUAAUAUAAGUGCCAGCAGUUGCGGUUAAACUUGUAACUUAAUAAUUAAAUUCUACCUAAAUUAAAUUUCUAUACUGAAUUAAAGAAAAAACUUUAGAAGUAAAAUUUAAUGUUUUAGCACAGUCUUUAAAAUUAAAAUUUAAAAAACUAAUAAAAACUAGGAUUAGAUACCCUACUAUAAGUCUAAUUUUUAAAUAAAGUAGUAAAAGUUAAUUCUUCAAACUUAAAAAAUAUGGCGGUAUUUUAAUCUAAUUAGAGGAAUCUGCUUAGUAAUCGAUACUCCACGAGCUAUUCUACGUAUUAAUAUUAAUUUAUAUAUCGCUGUUAAAUACAAAUUUAAAAAUUAAGUGUGCUCACAUAAUAGUAUAAAAAUCAAGUCAACACAUAAUUUAUAUUACGCUAGUUGUGGAUUACAUUUACUUUAAGUUAUUAAAAUGAUAAUUAAAACUUCAGAAAACAGGAUUUAAAAUUAAAAUUUUAUAGACUAAGAAUUUAAAUAAGUAAUAAAAUAUGUACAAAUUGCCCGUCACUCUUAACUAAAUUAAGAUAAGUCGUAACAAAGUAAGCUUACUGGAAAGUAAAUUUAGAUUAAA
Molecule: non-coding RNA, 759 nt
Filed under: Aleyrodidae sp. JXCHN01
Lineage: Eukaryota; Metazoa; Arthropoda; Insecta; Hemiptera; Aleyrodidae
Source: RNAcentral